This is a long non-coding RNA of Octopus sinensis (East Asian common octopus), 163 nucleotides long. RefSeq lists it as uncharacterized. The transcript is spliced from 3 exons. The record is from RefSeq and is a predicted model, not a curated record. NCBI's taxonomy places the organism in Eukaryota, Metazoa, Mollusca, Cephalopoda, Octopoda, Octopodidae.
UUCUGCUCAAUGCCACAGAAUUGUUUGUCAGUUGUUUGACCUUAACCAGUUGAGCAUGUCCAUGAAUGGCUGGCGAUAUGUGCAUCUCCGAUCACGAGCAGAGGUAGUGGAGGAGCAUCGUAGUCAUAAGUUAAAAGGAAUUCUUUGGUCAUUUAUAUAAUUC